CGGUGGACGCGGGGUGCCGCUGUGCGGCUGAGAUCACACCCGUCGAACCUGAUCUAGCUCGUACUAGCGAAGGGAACGUCAGAUGUCGACGA
RNAcentral lists this non-coding RNA (92 nucleotides) under Serinicoccus chungangensis. Its description in RNAcentral is "TPP sequence". It matches the Rfam family "TPP riboswitch aptamer (THI element)". From Rfam's summary of the family: Vitamin B(1) in its active form thiamin pyrophosphate (TPP) is an essential coenzyme that is synthesised by coupling of pyrimidine and thiazole moieties in bacteria. The previously detected thiamin-regulatory element, thi box was extended, resulting in a new, highly conserved RNA secondary structure, the THI element, which is widely distributed in eubacteria and also occurs in some archaea. Lineage: Bacteria; Bacillati; Actinomycetota; Actinomycetes; Micrococcales; Ornithinimicrobiaceae. The record is from Rfam by way of RNAcentral.